This 334-nucleotide long non-coding RNA is filed under the name Musa acuminata (dwarf banana). Its description in RNAcentral is "long non-coding RNA (MACU_LNC002094)". The record is from RNAcentral. Lineage: Eukaryota; Viridiplantae; Streptophyta; Magnoliopsida; Zingiberales; Musaceae.
AUGAAAAACCCUAUGAAUUUCAGAGAGAAGAAAGUGAAAAGUACUAAAAGAAUAUCUGAGACAUACCACAAGGUAUCAAGUACUAAAAGAAUAUCUGAGACAUACCACAAGGUAUCCAAGUAGCUGAGUAAAUUGAAUAAAAAUGAUUUUAGGAGUUAUACCUAGGAAGUUUAACCAUUAGAAAUUUCAGAAGUAUGAGUUCAGGAAAUGUAAAAUUUAUGGAAAUAUCCAGUAAUACAGAAGGAGUACAGUAGCACAAUUAACAAUCUGAUGUGUCAUGCUACCAUCAAAAGGAAAUAAACAACAAGUGCACAAUUGCAUCAAGUAAUCUCUA